Molecule: ribosomal RNA, 253 nt
Filed under: uncultured bacterium
Lineage: Bacteria
Description: partial 16S ribosomal RNA
Rfam family: Bacterial small subunit ribosomal RNA
Source: RNAcentral
UACGGGGGGGGCAAGCGUUGUUCGGAAUUACUGGGCGUAAAGGGCUCGUAGGUGGCCAACUAAGUCAGACGUGAAAUCCCUCGGCUUAACCGGGGAACUGCGUCUGAUACUGGAUGGCUUGAGUUCGGGAGAGGGAUGCGGAAUUCCAGGUGUAGCGGUGAAAUGCGUAGAUAUCUGGAGGAAUACCGGUGGCGAAGGCGGCAUCCUGGACCGACAUUGACGCUGAGGAGCGAAAGCUAGGGGAGCAAACGGG